Long non-coding RNA from Labrus bergylta (ballan wrasse), 991 nucleotides. RefSeq lists it as uncharacterized. Lineage: Eukaryota; Metazoa; Chordata; Actinopteri; Labriformes; Labridae. The record is from RefSeq and is a predicted model, not a curated record.
UGACAACCAAUCUGAACGAGGAUGAAACAAAGAGCUUGUCCCCCGGCGCUUCUCUCUGUAACAGCUGCAAAACCAGAAAACAGAAACAUAAAACAUAAAACAUCCAAGCAUCAAAAUGCAACGACGAGUGAACAUCCACCAAGUCCGCGACCUAUUUUAUCAAGUUGGAGGAGAGGAAGAUUCUGGAAACUCCUCCUCAGCUCCUGAGAGGAUGAAGCUAACAUCGAUCCUCCAAGAAAGAGGAAGAUGACCAGCUGAGGACUGCAACAGCUAUGGAGAGGAAGAUGACCAGCCUAGGGACCCAACAAUCAAUGUUGAUCCUGUGAGGAGUCUUCAGUGGAGAUCCAUUCCUCCUACAACGAGGGCUAGACAAAGCGCAAAGCGUCGUCUGGAAAGAUCUGCAACAGCUCAGGCAACACAGCCAGACCACUCACAUACACACACUGUUCAACUCCAUGCCAAAUUUCAGCCUCCUAUGGCGAAAAUAUUAUAUUCCAAUUUAUUUUGCCAUGUCUUACCUACAUUGGAAAUGCUGUCAACCAACAUGUGUGACAAGGUUAGACUGACUUGUGUUUGUUUUCUCUCAUGUUUUUGUUGUUUGAAAUGUGUUUGGUAGAUAAAAUACAAAAACGCCUAUGGACACACCUGCUUUUUUUGUAAAUAUUUGAAUACCAAAUGUCCUUUAUAUAUUUCCAUUUAUUAUUUUGAUAAUUAUUAUUAUUGUUCUAGCUUUGUCACUGCUCAAAACAGUUCCCAGGAGCAGUUUUGAGUAGUGGCAGGGACUUUUUGGAGCAGUGGCAUAGCUAGAAUACAAUAAACGCCCAUGUACAAGCUUACUGUUGUUGUAAAAAUUAAAUAAAUUAUUAUUUUCCAAAUUUUCUUUUUAUAUUUCAAUUUUUAUACAUUUGAAGUUCAUUUUUAUCAAUUCAAAACAGUUCGUCCAGCACUCUGUGUUUUUUAGAAUAAAAAAGUAAUACAUUUAAAAAAAAAA